Molecule: ribosomal RNA, 967 nt
Filed under: uncultured Bacteroidota bacterium
Lineage: Bacteria; Pseudomonadati; Bacteroidota
Description: bacterial SSU rRNA
Rfam family: Bacterial small subunit ribosomal RNA
Source: RNAcentral
GAGUUUGAUCCUGGCUCAGGAUGAACGCUAGCGGCAGGCCUAACACAUGCAAGUCGAACGGUAACAUAAGAGCUUGCUCUUGAUGACGAGUGGCGCACGGGUGAGUAACGCGUAUGCAAUCUACCUAUAACUGAGGGAUAGCCCAGAGAAAUUUGGAUUAAUACCUCAUAAUAAUAUUUUUUGGCAUCAUUAAAUAUUUAAAACUCCGGUGGUUAUAGAUGAGCAUGCGUUCUAUUAGUUUGUUGGUGAGGUAAAGGCUCACCAAGACUACGAUAGAUAGGGGGCCUGAHAGGUGAUCCCCCACACUGGUACUGAGACACGGACCAGACUCCUACGGGAGGCAGCAGUGAGGAAUAUCGCACAAUGGAGGAAACUCUGAUGCAGCCAUGCCGCGUGCAGGAUGACGGCCCUAUGGGUUGUAAACUGCUUUUUUACAAGAAGAAACCUUGGUACGUGUACCAACUUGACGGUAUUGUAAGAAUAAGCACCGGCUAACUCCGUGCCAGCAGCCGCGGUAAUACGGAGGGUGCAAGCGUUAUCCGGAUUUAUUAGGUUUAAAGGGUUCGCAGGCGGAAUUUUAAGUCAGUGGUGAAAGCCUAUAGCUCAACUAUAGAACUGCCAUUGAUACUGAAAUUCUUGAGUAUAGAUGAAGUGGGCGGAAUAUGUCAUGUAGCGGUGAAAUGCAUAGAUAUGACAUGGAACACCAAUUGCGAAGGCAGCUCACUAAACUAUUACUGACGCUCAUGAACGAAAGCAUGGGGAGCGAACAGGAUUAGAUACCCUGGUAGUCCAUGCUGUAAACUAUGAUCACUAGAUGUUGGCGAUAUAUUGUCAGUGUUUUAGAGAAAUCGUUAAGUGAUCCACCUGGGGAGUACGUUCGCAAGAAUGAAACUCAAAGGAAUUGACGGGGGCCCGCACAAGCGGUGGAGCAUGUGGUUUAAUUCGAUGAUACGCGAGGAACCUUACC